RNAcentral lists this ribosomal RNA (780 nucleotides) under Leucaenicola osmanthi. RNAcentral's name for it is "SSU rRNA". It matches the Rfam family "Eukaryotic small subunit ribosomal RNA", at positions 319 to 1104 of the family's 1831-position model. The record is from RNAcentral. Lineage: Eukaryota; Fungi; Ascomycota; Dothideomycetes; Pleosporales; Bambusicolaceae.
CUUUCGAUGGUAAGGUAUUGGCUUACCAUGGUUUCAACGGGUAACGGGGAAUUAGGGUUCGAUUCCGGAGAGGGAGCCUGAGAAACGGCUACCACAUCCAAGGAAGGCAGCAGGCGCGCAAAUUACCCAAUCCCGACACGGGGAGGUAGUGACAAUAAAUACUGAUACAGGGCUCUUUUGGGUCUUGUAAUUGGAAUGAGUACAAUUUAAACCUCUUAACGAGGAACAAUUGGAGGGCAAGUCUGGUGCCAGCAGCCGCGGUAAUUCCAGCUCCAAUAGCGUAUAUUAAAGUUGUUGCAGUUAAAAAGCUCGUAGUUGAACCUUUGGCCUGGCUGGCAGGUCCGCCUCACCGCGUGUACUUGUCCGGCCGGGCCUUCUUUUCUGGAGAACCGCAUGCCCUUCACUGGGUGUGUUGGGGACCAGGACUUUUACUUUGAAAAAAUUAGAGUGUUCAAAGCAGGCCUUUGCUCGAAUACGUUAGCAUGGAAUAAUAGAAUAGGACGUGCGGUCCUAUUUUGUUGGUUUCUAGGACCGCCGUAAUGAUUAAUAGGGACAGUCGGGGGCAUCAGUAUUCAAUUGUCAGAGGUGAAAUUCUUGGAUUUAUUGAAGACUAACUACUGCGAAAGCAUUUGCCAAGGAUGUUUUCAUUAAUCAGUGAACGAAAGUUAGGGGAUCGAAGACGAUCAGAUACCGUCGUAGUCUUAACCAUAAACUAUGCCGACUAGGGAUCGGGCGGUGUUUCUAUUUUGACUCGCUCGGCACCUUACGAGAAAUCAAAGU